This 57-nucleotide ribosomal RNA is filed under the name Xylariaceae sp. RNAcentral's name for it is "partial 28S ribosomal RNA". The record is from RNAcentral. Lineage: Eukaryota; Fungi; Ascomycota; Sordariomycetes; Xylariales; Xylariaceae.
GCCGUAAAACCCCCUAAAUUUUAUUCUGGUUGACCUCGGAUCAGGUAGGAAUACCCG